CGGGGAAUCCUGACAAAGCAGGAAAUGACUUCGGGAGGACACGAGUCACCAGGACAGAAGGGCAGGCUGGGAUCCUGGUCCAAGCUACUUCCAAUCCCUUUGUCCAGAAAAACCAUUUCUGGGGAGAUUUCUUGGUCAGGAAGUUAUUUGCCUUGCACACAUGACGAUCUGAAGCUGAUACCCAGAACCCAUAGCAGAAAGCCAGGUUUGGUGGUGUGCUGCAUGCUUUAAAUUCUAACACUGGAAGGCAGAGACAGGAGGAUCCCUGCAACUACCUGGACAACUGACCUAGUCUAAGCACAUAAUGAAGUCGGACUUGGGGGAUGAUGGCUGGAGCUAUUUGUGUUUCUUC
Grammomys surdaster is the source of this 352-nucleotide long non-coding RNA. RefSeq lists it as uncharacterized. Lineage: Eukaryota; Metazoa; Chordata; Mammalia; Rodentia; Muridae. The transcript has 3 exons. The record is from RefSeq and is a predicted model, not a curated record.